CUAUCCCAGACGGCUAAUCCCUUUGGUUAAUGAAUACCCAUAGCCUCAUCAUCUCUAGGAACAGGCGCCUAACCGGAGCCUGAGAGAAUGUUGCCAAAGCAACUUGGCGAAAGAUCCUUGUCUGCUCAUUGACUGCUUUGUGCUGAGAAUCAUCAAAAAAUGAUCUAAAUAACCACCAUAUUAGCUCCCUUAAGGAAGAAACAGUGAUAGUGACUUGCCCAGGAUCAUACACAGCCAACCAGUGUCAGAGCUAGGACUUGAAUUUAGUUCUUCUGACUACUAACAGUUUUUUCUACUAUGCCAAAUACUGUUCCUGCUUUCCUUUCACCUGUACUCACUGUCAUUCUCUGUGAGUCAAGGCAGCAGCUAUGGUGAGAUCAGAAACAAUGGCCUUCAUUGAAUAGGUAACAUUUGCCUACAACCUGCUUUGUCUCAGAUACUCUUCCACCAGCAAAGUGGGAAAAUAAUGACAAAUAAGCAGAGUAAGCCUUCUGUUUUUGAGUUUCUGUUUCUCUGCUUCAGUUCUGGGUCAGUUUUAAGACCCAAAACUUGGCGUGGGGAAGCAGGGACAUUUCUGAGAGCUUGCUCUGCAGCCAGCACUUUAUGAAAAUAGAAGUACAGGAUGAAAUUUUGAGCUCUUUAAGGAUGACAACACUGAUUGAUUAUCACUAGGAGCCGGUAAUUGCCUCCUGGUCUUAAAGUAGGAAACCUGCUGGGUAAAAAAAUAAAGACAAUGAAGGGAACAUUUUGUCUUAUAAAUUGAGCAACAGCAUUAUCUGGCAACCUGUUAAUGUCAGAGAUGAUCUCUACAAAAGUGAAGAUGAGCUUGACUGCACCCAAAAAGAAUAUUUUUUCCUAUAAAAUGGAAAUACAAAUUCAGGGUUCUGGGCAAAUUUUCUUGAGUUUAAAAACAGGGAAGCUGAGGCAAUAUUUAUUUACAGACUCCAAGUUGGAAGGAAUUAACAAUCCUGCCAGUUGCUCUAGAGGUGACAGGCACUUGCCUUUUCUCACUUUUCUUUUUCCCUUCUUCCCUCUCUCCUGUCUCUCCUUCUUCAUUCCUUCUUUCCUUCAUCAGUCAGGCUGAGUUUAAAUCCUAGUCCUACCAUGUUCUAGCUGUGAAGUCUUGAGCAGCUAACUCAACCUCCAUGUACCUGUUGCCUCAUCUAUAAAACAUGGACAGAUGGUUGUCUAUCUAGGGUUAUUAUGAGGGAGUUGACAUCCAUCAAGUAUUUAGGAUCUGCCACAUAGUCAGUGUUGGGUAGGAACACGUCUUCCCUAUUCCUGAUGUUUGUUUCCACAUGGAAGGACUUCUUCACUCAUUAUUUGAUCUAAAUUUUCAUUGACAAAUCACAGUAUCAUGCAUGGGCUCAUGAAUUUUGUAAUAUGUUUUUCAGUCGAAUUAUUUAUAUAGACAGGAACCCAACAAAAAUAUUUACCCAGGACCUUGUGCACUCUAGAAGUGGCCCUGGAGAAAAGUAUUUGCCUACAGAAAUAAACUGUUUCCUUCCUCUGCCUAUAUCAGUAACAAAGGUGCAGCUUUGGCCACCAUCUACCACUCCUUUGUCUCCCUGUUUGUUUAGAAGUUGAUCAGGAAAGAGGGACACCAUUUCCUCAGAUCCCUCAAAGUCCCAAAAAGCACUCAAUAAGCAUUAGCUGUUAUCAUUUUUCAAGCUUUCAGGUUGUGUUUUAUUUUCCAUUUUUCUCCUUUCCUUUCAUUCCAAAAAGUCUCCUUUCUUUAAUUCUAUAAGCUCUUCUUUGGUCCCUGAGAGAUUCCUAUUUGUUCAUUUUUGUUUGUUUUUUACAAUUAUUCCAGAGAUCUGGACGGUCUCUAGCACAGAAAAAAAAAAA
This 1848-nucleotide long non-coding RNA is filed under the name Macaca fascicularis (crab-eating macaque). RNAcentral describes it as "lncRNA (ENSMFAG00000055370.1)". The record is from RNAcentral. Lineage: Eukaryota; Metazoa; Chordata; Mammalia; Primates; Cercopithecidae.